Molecule: long non-coding RNA, 2993 nt
Organism: Gavialis gangeticus (Gharial)
Lineage: Eukaryota; Metazoa; Chordata; Crocodylia; Gavialidae
Exons: 2
Source: RefSeq, a predicted model, not a curated record
AGCUGGCGCCGCUGCCCUGUCCCGGGACACCCGUGGCUGGGGGAAGCCACCUCUCGUCCCCCACUCCCCGGCAUGUGUGCUGCGAGCUGGCCCGAGACUGGGCUGGGCUGGAUUGGCUGCCUUUUUUACUCUCCACUUCCCCUUUGGUGUUUUGUUUUUCCCGCCGUUUUUUUGGCAGAGCACCCGGAAGCCUUGCCCCAGGGGCGCUGGGCGCAAAACAGCUGAGGGAGGAGCCCCUUCUGGGCAGGGGAUGUAGAGCUAGAUCAGACCCCCUCCCUUCGUGUGCUGUGAUUCAUAGCGGGAAAAUGACUAACGCCUGUGUAUUUUGGUGUUUUCUAGAGCUCAACAACUGUUUUAAAUGAACCUUUUAGUAAAAAAAAAAAGAACAAAAAAAAAAGAUCCCCAAGGCAACCCCCUUGGCCCUGUUGAAUCGCAGCUGUUGUAGUAAUAGUAGCUCUUUGUACCUGAAUCCACUUUUUUCUCUUUUUCUGCCCCCCAAUGGGAAUCUUUAUUAUUAGCCUCCACUCCUCCAAAAAUUCCUGCCCAGGCAUAUACAUCGAAGGUCUGGGUGGCCCUCAUGCAUACACCAUGAUCCGGGAGGAUCCAUGGUUGCCACAUUAUUAUGAUUAUUAUUAUUAUUAUUCUGGCAGGGUUUGAACCCGCUUUCCUGUCUAUUGUUAUUGCUAACACUGAACUUUAAAUGACCUUUUACACUGUAUUUGAGAGACUGUGUUUGUUACUGUAGUUCUGCAUUCCUUGGCUUUUAAUACAGGGAUUUGUUUCCUCCCCCUGCCCUCCCUGCCAAAUCCAGUCUUUAACUUUGCAUCGGUUUAAACUUAAAAGAAGCAGUGCUGCCUUCGGACAGGUGGCUUUGUGGUUUCUGCUGCUGCGCAGAGCUUCUGCAAAGGGCAGUAGUGAUAACUUGCUCUCUGCUCUUCAGAGGACAGCAGAUGACGCAUGUGUCGUAUGCGUGGACUAGGGGGAAAAAGUAGAGUAUCGGAGUCCUGACAACCUGCUCAGGUGACUCUUGGUGGUGGGGAAGGGGGAGAAAUAGCCAGAUAAUGCCUUUUCUUCCCUUCCACCAGUUCUAGGGGGAUGAAGAGGAAGGGGUAAAUCAAGUGCAGUAGACAUUUACUCCUCAAAAAUAAUAUUAAAAUUGAGGGCCCCUUGACCAGUGCUCGGGGCAGUACCGUUAUAGGAAUCUAAUGGGAAAAGAGGAUGUUUUGAGAUAGAAGAGUUAGCUUUUCACGUGGGGGAUGCUCCUGAAUGAUAGAAUCUCUGUCUUUCAUGUUGGUCUUUGGCUACUAUAUAUCUGGUAGAAUUUCCAAAACCUAUGGGUAAGGGGUCAUGACUGGAUGGAUAGGUGGGCAGUGGCAUGGUAGUUUUUUGGGGGGAGGCAUUUCUGUCAGAGUGGAAAUGAAGGAUUCAGCAAAACUUCCUAGUCUCCAAAUUGGUCAGGCUGGGCUGUCACUAAAAAUGCCCUUAUGCUGCAGGUGUUAUUAGGACAGUAGUUCAUUUUUGGCAAGGAGGUAGGGGAAAGAUAUUACAAAGCUAGGAUUAGAUUCUGUCUGACCCCUGUGCAAAUAGCAGAGAGAGAGAGAGACACAGAGAGAAAUUUAAGAAAAUAAUUUUCUUGUUCUCCCCUCCAUAAAAUCCAACCGCGAUGACAGUCUCAAAUGUCCCAUGCCUCAAAAGCUUCAUACAAGCUAAAGAAAAGUUUUAUUUGAACCCUUUAGCCCUUCAAGGGGCCACAUCCUACUCAUUUUGUAUUAUAGCGAUAGUCCAGCUGAAGUCAGAGACCAACCAUGUGAAUAAAAUAAGCAAGAUUUGUGCUAGGAUUUUUCUCUAGUUUUUCCCCCACCCUCAGAUGACAGCAUAUUAUUUGGUUUGUUGGAAGCUGGGACAUAUGAGCUCAAGCUAGUGGCUAAUUUUGUACGUGAACAUUUAUCUAUCUUCUAAUACCGUUUUGGGUAAUUAAUACUGUUAGUAUUGGUUUAAAAUAUUAGAGGGAUUAAACCUUUUAGAACUGGGAGGAGUAUUUUGUGUAAGGGGGUAUAAAGUAUUUUGCUCCUUUCAUUGAAAAGCAAAAAGAAAAGGAUGUGCUUACAUUUUACCUACGAUUUCCUGCAUAAAAAAGGGAUGAAACCUGUUAGAAUUGGGAGGAAGGUGGGUAGAGGGUUGUAAGUCAAUUAUUUUAUCAAUAUUAGGAAAAAAAGAAAAAUAUUAACAAAGAUGUGCAAUAUUUUCUAGCACAUGAAAGUAUUGAGAGAGAGUGCAGAUGCAGUGCAGUAACUGCACAUCUGAAUGUAUUACAAAAAUAAAUUAUGUAGGUAUUUUUAAAAUCUUGUUCCAAUGGUUUAUCCUGCGGCCUUCCUUUUGACCUCAAUGGGCAUAUAGCCUGAAUAAACACUACAAUACUGCAGUCUUCUUAAGAAGAUAUACAUACAUACAUACAUACAUACAUACCUACCUACCUACCAGGAGAAAUAUAAAUUUUGCCUAUUGAUAUGAAGGGCAUCCUGUCCCAUUGUACACUUCCUUCUUGGUUUUGUGAGAAAAAGAAAUGCUUUGCUAUUUCUGUCUUACAAGGAUUAAAUUUUUGCAGGAAUGAGGAACACACACAAAGUAAAUGUUUGCCUUGGUGACUGAUAAGCCUCUUUAAAUUAAAAAAGGUAUAAAUGUCCCAGGGGAAUGCAGUAUCCAGUUAGAGUUGGCUCUGUCAACAUCCUAUGAAAAGUUUAAGUGCUAUAGAGCCUUGUAUAUAGAUAAUGAAAGGCCCAGUGAAGAUUUAUAACACCAACAAAAUAUUUUGGUUGAUAAUACCACACCUAGAGACGACCUCCUCUUCAACUAAAGGGCUUGAUGGUGCAAAGUACUGAGACCUCUGUUCUUGAUCCAGUUAAAUAUUUAAGCAUGUGUUCAAGUGCUUGAGGCCAGAUUGUCUUGUUGUUUACACUAUUUUUAUCAAUAAGCUCCACUAAUGUCACACAAAC